CUUCGGCUAACGGAGACGCAGGUGAAAAUCUGGUUCCAGAACCGUAGAAACAAAUGGAAACGGCAACUGGCAGCCGAACUGGAGGC
This 86-nucleotide microRNA precursor is filed under the name Aedes aegypti (yellow fever mosquito). RNAcentral's name for it is "partial AAEL017715-RA". Lineage: Eukaryota; Metazoa; Arthropoda; Insecta; Diptera; Culicidae. The record is from RNAcentral.